Molecule: ribosomal RNA, 153 nt
Filed under: Mucor genevensis
Lineage: Eukaryota; Fungi; Mucoromycota; Mucoromycetes; Mucorales; Mucoraceae
Description: 5.8S ribosomal RNA
Rfam family: 5.8S ribosomal RNA
About the family: 5.8S ribosomal RNA (5.8S rRNA) is a component of the large subunit of the eukaryotic ribosome. It is transcribed by RNA polymerase I as part of the 45S precursor that also contains 18S and 28S rRNA.
Source: RNAcentral
AACUUUUAACAACGGAUCUCUUGGUUCUCGCAUCGAUGAAGAACGUAGCAAAGUGCGAUAACUAGUGUGAAUUGCAUAUUCAGUGAAUCAUCGAGUCUUUGAACGCAACUUGCGCUCUUUGGUAUUCCAAGGAGCACGCCUGUUUCAGUAUCA